RNAcentral lists this long non-coding RNA (326 nucleotides) under Brassica napus (rape). RNAcentral describes it as "long non-coding RNA (BNAP_LNC021655)". The record is from RNAcentral. Lineage: Eukaryota; Viridiplantae; Streptophyta; Magnoliopsida; Brassicales; Brassicaceae.
UGAUCGUACUAACUAGAGGAUUUAUACCUCACGUCAUGUGUUGUUUCAUGAAAAUGUUUUUCCCUUUAGUGUCGCAGGAAAUCUCACAUCAAGUGGGCCAGCACAAGUAGAGGAGACACCUGCUAGGCCGUCAACCAUAACGCCUACUCAGAGAUAUCAACCACCAGUGCAAUCACCACAACCCAUCCCUGCUCCAGCAACUACCAAUCCAGUUCCUGCUCCUACUGCAGUACCUGAUGCGAUUUCUCCUACUACAAUACCUUCAACAACAACUGUUGCAGCAACUUCAGCGACUCAACAAACUGAAGCACCGCAACAACCUGCAG